AACCCAUUGUGAGGGCACCUUCUCAGUAAGUCCUUAUAUCUCUCUCAUGCAUCGUAAAGAGUUUCUAAGCUCGCCUGUACAAAUGAAGAGAUAUCAUUACGUAAUUU
This 107-nucleotide small nucleolar RNA is filed under the name Gossypium hirsutum (cotton). Its description in RNAcentral is "Plant small nucleolar RNA R71". It matches the Rfam family "Plant small nucleolar RNA R71". Rfam says of the family: R71 is a member of the C/D box family of snoRNAs containing the C (UGAUGA) and D (CUGA) box motifs. Multiple nearly identical copies of this snoRNA have been identified in Arabidopsis, and it is thought to function as a 2'-O-ribose methylation guide for 18S ribosomal RNA. Lineage: Eukaryota; Viridiplantae; Streptophyta; Magnoliopsida; Malvales; Malvaceae. The record is from Rfam by way of RNAcentral.